This 1310-nucleotide unclassified non-coding RNA is filed under the name Hevea brasiliensis (rubber tree). The record is from RNAcentral. Lineage: Eukaryota; Viridiplantae; Streptophyta; Magnoliopsida; Malpighiales; Euphorbiaceae.
AGCACCAGCACCAGCACCACCAUAGCUUCCUCUACUGCUUCCAUACAUUGAACCUCCUGCACUAUCUCCUCCAUACCCACUGCCAAGACCAGCGGCACCAUAUCCACUGCCAUAUCCACCGCCACCAGCACCAUAUCCUCCAUAACCUUCACCUGCUCCUCCAUAUCCACCACCAACAUCGUAGCCUCUACCAAAGGCUCCACUGCCAUAACGGCUAGAAUACCCAAAAGAAGCCUCCUCCCUGAAACCUCCUCCGUAGGCACCACCGCCACCAUAUGCUCCAUAUCCACCCAUUCCUCCUCCACUAUAUCCACCAAAUGCACUGGAUCUGCCACCAUAGGGGCCACCAGACCUGUAAGGACCAGGACCAGGACCAGCAACAACACCAUAACCAGAGUCUCCAUAUCCACCAUAAGCAUCUGAAAAUCCACCACCAAAUGCAGCUCUUGGAUUCCCUUGACGCCUGAAUGGGGCUGGUUGUGGCGCAUUAGGUCUCUUGGGCUCAGCCUUCUUGAUUUCCACCUGGGUUCCAGAAAAAUCAAGCUUGUUUCCAUUAGCCAAGAUAUCCUCGACAGAUUUUUCUGUGUCAAAAGUGAUGAAUCCAAAGCCACGAGAACGACUAGUAGAAUGGUCACGCAUGAUCUGGUGCUCUUUCACCUCUCCAAACUUUAAAAAGAAGUCUCUGAACUCAUCUUCACUAAUUGUUGUUGGGAUACCGCCCACAAAAAUCUUCUUUGUCUUGAAAUCUUUUGAGCUGGAACCUCCUCCUCUAGGUAUAGUUCGCUUGAUUUCCACUUGCUUUCCAUUUAUAACAUGGUCGUCCUCAAUGACUUUAUCUACCACGGAUGGGUCAGCAUAAGUCACAAAACCAAACCCACGUGGCUGUCCUGUCCGCCUUUCCUUCAUAAUCACGGAAUCAAUAAUUUCACCAUAUUUACCGAAGUGCUUGACAAAUUGAGCUGAAGUUGUCUCUCUAGCCAAGCCCCCAAUAAAAAUCUUUCCAGGACUAGCACCAUCUCCGGUAAGAGGCUGAGAAGCGCCGGCGUCGUUUUGAUGGUCGGGAGUAGUUCUAAGGUCGUCAUUAGUUUCUUCUUCCUCCAGUUUGAUUUUAACACCAUUUACAGUCCCAUUUUGUUCCUCCAUCGAGAAGAAGACGUUUGUCGGUGUUUUUCAAGGAAGUUUUCAAUGAAUCGGAACCGGAGCUCUGAGGUUCACCGUGAAAAUAUGCGGUCUGAUCUAGUACAGGACGUUGUCGGCGCUUUUAUAUACCAAAACCCUAGAUAGUUUGAUAGGGGAACGUUCGAUUAGAG